ACGGCCUCGGUUGUAACCCUUCAGGAGGGACGAAGUUUCACCGGUGAAUAGCCGUGUGGAUUGACGGUACCUCCAGAAGAAGCUACGGCUAACUACGUGC
RNAcentral lists this ribosomal RNA (100 nucleotides) under uncultured bacterium. Its description in RNAcentral is "partial 16S ribosomal RNA". The record is from RNAcentral.